GCUGCUGAGCUAAAUCCCCAGUCCCCAAUGUAUUGUUAUUUUAACCUCUGUGUGGAAGACAAAACCAGGGAUUUCUCGUUGCUGUGCAGUUUCUAUGGACAGCCAUUUCUGUGGUUUCAGCAUCGAUGCUUCAUUGACAGGAAGCCAUCAUCCCAUCCAAACUCCAAAGCCAUUCCGGUGGAGCGCAGAGACCAGUUCAAGGCGUUCUUGGCAGGACUUGGAACCCAGAGUCAUUGGAAAGUGUCCCCAUGGGGUGAUCUGUGAGUCUUCAGUGGGCCCUCACCAAGCCUUCAGAGUGGAUGCUACUAGCCACAGUGCCUGCCAUAAGUGAAAUUCUGUGGGAAGAAAGUGUGUGGUGGACUGACAACCGGUGGUCAACUUGCAGUACCCAGCUGAACUUAAUGAGCGUGGUGCUGGGCG
This is a long non-coding RNA of Chinchilla lanigera (long-tailed chinchilla), 420 nucleotides long. RefSeq lists it as uncharacterized. The transcript is spliced from 3 exons. The record is from RefSeq and is a predicted model, not a curated record. NCBI's taxonomy places the organism in Eukaryota, Metazoa, Chordata, Mammalia, Rodentia, Chinchillidae.